Triticum dicoccoides is the source of this 677-nucleotide long non-coding RNA. RefSeq lists it as uncharacterized. NCBI's taxonomy places the organism in Eukaryota, Viridiplantae, Streptophyta, Magnoliopsida, Poales, Poaceae. The transcript is spliced from 3 exons. The record is from RefSeq and is a predicted model, not a curated record.
CGCCCUAUCUCCAAGACAACGUUCUGCUCCAUCCGUUGGUAAGUAGCGACCAUGUCAUCUCUUCCCCUUUCAAUCCCUAUAGUACUUUUCCCAUGGUGUUUUUCGAUGGUGAUGAAACUCAGGCGCCCAUGACCACCGUGUUUCUUUUCCUUUUAUUCCUUGGCCGUAGUUUUCAUGAAUCGCAAUGGUUUUCAUUAGCUGUAAGCAUGUAACUGAUAGAGUAAGGCAUGGCUGUUUGCUUUGAUCAAAUCCAACCCCAUUAUCAAAUGAAAUGCUAGGAGAAAAUAAGUUGGUAGCACUUCUCUUUUUCCAAAAGAGCUGGCAUGCUGGGCAGCAGUGCUCUUUUGGUUUUGCUUAGCUGCAGGAUAAAAUGAUCACCCAGUUAGUCACGGGCUCAUGGCUGGGUUAAAUGUAUUCAGAAGAAGAAGUCUCUGACCGCCACACACCUGUCGUCGACCAGCACAUCAGAUUUUAGAAGAAGAGAUUGGUGGUGUUAAAGGACAUUUUGGACCAAUCAAUGAAUUAGCAUUUAAUCCUGAUGGGAGGAGGUCUUGAAAGUAGCAUAUACAUCAAAUGUUUGUGGACAUCAUGCAUGGAUGAAAAUCUGGGAACAGUUAGUUUGUUGGCUAUGUCUUGUCAUAGCUGGGUGCUCGUGAUUCAAAAGAUUUAAAGGUGAC